Molecule: ribosomal RNA, 999 nt
Filed under: Enterobacteriaceae bacterium 8376wB8
Lineage: Bacteria; Pseudomonadati; Pseudomonadota; Gammaproteobacteria; Enterobacterales; Enterobacteriaceae
Description: bacterial SSU rRNA
Rfam family: Bacterial small subunit ribosomal RNA
Source: RNAcentral
AAAUUGAAGAGUUUGAUCAUGGCUCAGAUUGAACGCUGGCGGCAGGCCUAACACAUGCAAGUCGAGCGGUAGCACAGAGAGCUUGCUCUCGGGUGACGAGCGGCGGACGGGUGAGUAAUGUCUGGGAAACUGCCUGAUGGAGGGGGAUAACUACUGGAAACGGUAGCUAAUACCGCAUAACGUCGCAAGACCAAAGUGGGGGACCUUCGGGCCUCAUGCCAUCAGAUGUGCCCAGAUGGGAUUAGCUGGUAGGUGGGGUAACGGCUCACCUAGGCGACGAUCCCUAGCUGGUCUGAGAGGAUGACCAGCCACACUGGAACUGAGACACGGUCCAGACUCCUACGGGAGGCAGCAGUGGGGAAUAUUGCACAAUGGGCGCAAGCCUGAUGCAGCCAUGCCGCGUGUGUGAAGAAGGCCUUCGGGUUGUAAAGCACUUUCAGCGGGGAGGAAGGCGAUAAGGUUAAUAACCUUGUCGAUUGACGUUACCCGCAGAAGAAGCACCGGCUAACUCCGUGCCAGCAGCCGCGGUAAUACGGAGGGUGCAAGCGUUAAUCGGAAUUACUGGGCGUAAAGCGCACGCAGGCGGUCUGUCAAGUCGGAUGUGAAAUCCCCGGGCUCAACCUGGGAACUGCAUUCGAAACUGGCAGGCUAGAGUCUUGUAGAGGGGGGUAGAAUUCCAGGUGUAGCGGUGAAAUGCGUAGAGAUCUGGAGGAAUACCGGUGGCGAAGGCGGCCCCCUGGACAAAGACUGACGCUCAGGUGCGAAAGCGUGGGGAGCAAACAGGAUUAGAUACCCUGGUAGUCCACGCUGUAAACGAUGUCGAUUUGGAGGUUGUGCCCUUGAGGCGUGGCUUCCGGAGCUAACGCGUUAAAUCGACCGCCUGGGGAGUACGGCCGCAAGGUUAAAACUCAAAUGAAUUGACGGGGGCCCGCACAAGCGGUGGAGCAUGUGGUUUAAUUCGAUGCAACGCGAAGAACCUUACCUGGUCUUGACAUCCAC